CGUAGGGUGCAUGCGUUGUCCGGAAUUAUUGGGCGUAAAGAGCUCGUAGGCGGUCUGUUGCGUCGGCUGUGAAAACCCGGGGCUCAACCCCGGGCCUGCAGCCGAUACGGGCAGACUAGAGUUCGGCAGGGGAGACUGGAAUUCCUGGUGUAGCGGUGAAAUGCGCAGAUAUCAGGAGGAACACCGGUGGCGAAGGCGGGUCUCUGGGCCGAUACUGACGCUGAGGAGCGAAAGCGUGGGGAGCGAACAGGAUUAGAUACCCUGGUAGUCCACGCCGUAAACGUUGGGCGCUAGGUGUGGGUUCCCUUCCACGGGAUCCGUGCCGCAGCUAACGCAUUAAGCGCCCCGCCUGGGGAGUACGGCCGCAAGGCUA
Molecule: ribosomal RNA, 373 nt
Filed under: uncultured organism
Description: bacterial SSU rRNA
Rfam family: Bacterial small subunit ribosomal RNA
Source: RNAcentral